UCCAGCUUAUCGCUGGCGGUCUCCUGCGAGUGCCCAACUAAAUGAUGGCAACACAGGACACAAGGGUUGCGCUCGUUGCGGGACUUAACCCAACAUCUCACGACACGAGCUGACGACAGCCAUGCAGCACCUGUGCAAACUGGUCUUGCGACCUCGUCGGACUUUCAUCCUUCUACCAUUUGCAUGUCAAGCCCAGGUAAGGUUCUUCGCGUUGCAUCGAAUUAAGCCACAUACUCCACCGCUUGUGCAGGCCCCCGUCAAUUUCUUUGAGUUUUAGCCUUGCGGCCGUACUCCCCAGGCGGGGUGCUUAAUGCGUUAGCUUCGGCACGGACGGGGUUGAUAUCCGCCCACACCUAGCACCCAACGUUUACGGCUAGGACUAC
Molecule: unclassified non-coding RNA, 383 nt
Filed under: uncultured bacterium
Lineage: Bacteria
Description: contains 16S-23S intergenic spacer region
Source: RNAcentral